RNAcentral lists this ribosomal RNA (499 nucleotides) under uncultured bacterium. Its description in RNAcentral is "partial 16S ribosomal RNA". It matches the Rfam family "Bacterial small subunit ribosomal RNA", at positions 28 to 507 of the family's 1533-position model. The record is from RNAcentral.
GACGAACGCUGGCGGCGUGCCUAAUACAUGCAAGUCGAGCGAAGUUUUUCUGGUGCUUGCACCGGAAAAACUUAGCGGCGAACGGGUGAGUAACACGUAAAGAACCUGCCUCAUAGACUGGGACAACUAUUGGAAACGAUAGCUAAUACCGGAUAAUAGCAUUAACUGCAUGGUUGAUGUUUAAAAGUUGGUUUUGCUAACACUAUGAGAUGGCUUUGCGGUGCAUUAGCUAGUUGGUGGGGGAAAGGCCUACCAAGGCGACGAUGCAUAGCCGACCUGAGAGGUUGAUCGGCCACACUGGGACUGAGACACGGCCCAGACUCCUACGGGAGGCAGCAGUAGGGAAUCUUCCGCAAUGGGCGAAAGCCUGACGCAGCAACGCCGCGUGAGUGAAGAAGGAUUUCGGUUCGUAAAGCUCUGUUGUUAGGGAAGAAUGAUUGUGUAGUAACUAUACACAGUAGUGACGGUACCUAACCAGAAAGCCACGGCUAACUACGUG